Molecule: unclassified non-coding RNA, 329 nt
Filed under: soil metagenome
Description: partial contains 5.8S ribosomal RNA, internal transcribed spacer 2, and large subunit ribosomal RNA
Rfam family: 5.8S ribosomal RNA (bases 1-120)
Source: RNAcentral
GAUGAAGAACGCAGCGAAAUGCGAUAAGUAGUGUGAGUUGCAGAAUUCAGUGAAUCAUCGAAUCUUUGAACGCACAUUGCGCCCCUUGGUAUCCCGAGGGGCAUGCCUGUUCGAGCGUCAUUUCACCACUCAAGCCUGGCUUGGUGUUGGGCGACGUCCUCUUUGGGGACGCGCCUCGAAACGCUCGGCGGCGUGGCACCGGCUUUAAGCGUAGCAGAAUCUUUCGCUUUGGAAGUCGGGGCCCCGUCUGCCGGAAGACCUGCUCGCAAGGUUGACCUCGGAUCAGGCAGGGAUACCCGCUGAACUUAAGCAUAUCAAUAAGCGGAGGA